Molecule: ribosomal RNA, 379 nt
Filed under: uncultured Anaerolineaceae bacterium
Lineage: Bacteria; Bacillati; Chloroflexota; Anaerolineae; Anaerolineales; Anaerolineaceae
Description: bacterial SSU rRNA
Rfam family: Bacterial small subunit ribosomal RNA
Source: RNAcentral
AUAUAGGUUGUAGGGAACUGAAAGGGACGACCCUUCGGGAGCCUAUACAGGUGUUGCAUGGCUGUCGUCAGCUCGUGUCGUGAGAUGUUCGGUUAAGUCCGCUAACGAGCGCAACCCUCGUCGUAUGUUAUAUGUGUCAUACGAGACUGCCGGUAAAAGCCGGAGGAAGGUGAGGAUGAUGUCAAGUCAGCAUGACCUUUAUAUCCAGGGCUACACACACGCUACAAUGGUCUGUACAAUGGGUAGCCAAGCCGCGAGGCGGAGCCAAUCCUGAAAGCAGGCCUCAGUUCAGAUUGCAGUCUGCAACUCGACUGCAUGAAGCCGGAGUUGCUAGUAACCGCAGGUCAGCAAUACUGCGGUGAAUACGUUCCCGGGUCUU